GACGAACGCUGGCGGCGUGCUUAACACAUGCAAGUCGAGCGGUAAGGCCCUUUCGGGGGUACACGAGCGGCGAACGGGUGAGUAACACGUGGGUGACCUGCCCUCAGCUCUGGGAUAAGCCUGGGAAACCGGGUCUAAUACUGGAUAUGACUCCAUGACGCAUGUUGUGGGGUGGAAAGCCUUGUGCGGCUGAGGAUGGGCCCGCGGCCUAUCAGCUUGUUGGUGGGGUGANGGCCUACCAAGGCGGCGACGGGUAGCCGGCCUGAGAGGGCGACCGGCCACACUGGGACUGAGACACGGCCCAGACUCCUACGGGAGGCAGCAGUGGGGAAUCUUGCGCAAUGGGCGAAAGCCUGACGCGGCGACGCCGCGUGAGGGAUGACGG
This 385-nucleotide ribosomal RNA is filed under the name uncultured bacterium. RNAcentral describes it as "bacterial SSU rRNA". It matches the Rfam family "Bacterial small subunit ribosomal RNA", at positions 28 to 414 of the family's 1533-position model. The record is from RNAcentral.